UACGAAGGGGGCUAGCGUUGUUCGGAAUUACUGGGCGUAAAGCGCACGUAGGCGGACAUUUAAGUUGGAGGUGAAAGCCUUGGGCUCAACCCAAGAAUUGCCUUUGAUACUGGAUGUCUCGAGACCGGGAGAGGUGAGUGGAAUUCCUGGUGUAGCGGUGAAAUGCGCAGAUAUCAGGAGGAACACCAAUGGCGAAGGCAGCUCACUGGGACGGUAUUGACGCUGAGACGCGAAAGCGUGGGGAGCAAACAGG
RNAcentral lists this ribosomal RNA (253 nucleotides) under uncultured bacterium. Its description in RNAcentral is "partial 16S ribosomal RNA". It matches the Rfam family "Bacterial small subunit ribosomal RNA", at positions 524 to 776 of the family's 1533-position model. The record is from RNAcentral.